CCAAACAAUGAUGUGGUAGUCUCCCAGCACAGAUCUUAUCAUUCUACGUGGAACAUAGCUUCUGAGUUUUUGCAGG
Small nucleolar RNA from Lepus europaeus (European hare), 76 nucleotides. RefSeq annotates it as small nucleolar RNA SNORD121A. The record is from RefSeq and is a predicted model, not a curated record. Lineage: Eukaryota; Metazoa; Chordata; Mammalia; Lagomorpha; Leporidae. The transcript has a single exon.